AUUGAACGCUGGCGGCAGGCUUAACACAUGCAAGUCGAGCGGAGCGAGGGUGCUUGCACCUUAGCUUAGCGGCGGACGGGUGAGUAAUGCUUAGGAAUCUGCCUAUUAGUGGGGGACAACGUUCCGAAAGGGACGCUAAUACCGCAUACGUCCUACGGGAGAAAGCAGGGGAUCUUCGGACCUUGCGCUAAUAGAUGAGCCUAAGUCGGAUUAGCUAGUUGGUGGGGUAAAGGCCUACCAAGGCGACGAUCUGUAGCGGGUCUGAGAGGAUGAUCCGCCACACUGGGACUGAGACACGGCCCAGACUCCUACGGGAGGCAGCAGUGGGGAAUAUUGGACAAUGGGGGGAACCCUGAUCCAGCCAUGCCGCGUGUGUGAAGAAAGGCCCUUUUGGUUGUAAAGCACUUUAAAGCGAGGAGGAGGCGCUUCUAGGAUAAUACC
Molecule: ribosomal RNA, 441 nt
Filed under: Acinetobacter sp. oral taxon C51
Lineage: Bacteria; Pseudomonadati; Pseudomonadota; Gammaproteobacteria; Moraxellales; Moraxellaceae
Description: bacterial SSU rRNA
Rfam family: Bacterial small subunit ribosomal RNA
Source: RNAcentral